GAUGAACGCUGGCGGCGUGCCUAAUACAUGCAAGUCGAGCGAACGGACGAGAAGCUUGCUUCUCUGAUGUUAGCGGCGGACGGGUGAGUAACACGUGGAUAACCUACCUAUAAGACUGGGAUAACUUCGGGAAACCGGAGCUAAUACCGGAUAAUAUUUUGAACCGCAUGGUUCAAAAGUGAAAGACGGUCUUGCUGUCACUUAUAGAUGGAUCCGCGCUGCAUUAGCUAGUUGGUAAGGUAACGGCUUACCAAGGCAACGAUGCAUAGCCGACCUGAGAGGGUGAUGGGCCACACUGGAACUGAGAACCGGUCCAGACUCCAACGGGAGGCAGCAGUAGGGAAUUUUCCGCAAGGGGCGAAAGCCUGACGGAGCAACGCCGGGGGGGGGAUGAAGGUCCUGGGAUCGUAAAACUCUUUUAUUGGGGAAAAACAUAUGUGUAAGUAACUGUGCACAUCUUGACGGUACCUAAUCAGAAAGCCACGGCUAACUACGG
RNAcentral lists this ribosomal RNA (496 nucleotides) under uncultured bacterium. Its description in RNAcentral is "partial 16S ribosomal RNA". It matches the Rfam family "Bacterial small subunit ribosomal RNA", at positions 28 to 506 of the family's 1533-position model. The record is from RNAcentral.